GGACGAACGCUGGCGGCGUGCUUAACACAUGCAAGUCGAACGGAAAGGCCCUGCUUUUGUGGGGUGCUCGAGUGGCGAACGGGUGAGUAACACGUGAGUAACCUGCCCUUGACUUUGGGAUAACUUCAGGAAACUGGGGCUAAUACCGGAUAGGAGCUCCUGCUGCAUGGUGGGGGUUGGAAAGUUUCGGCGGUUGGGGAUGGACUCGCGGCUUAUCAGCUUGUUGGUGGGGUAGUGGCUUACCAAGGCUUUGACGGGUAGCCGGCCUGAGAGGGUGACCGGCCACAUUGGGACUGAGAUACGGCCCAGACUCCUACGGGAGGCAGCUGUGGGGAAUAUUGCACAAUGGGCGGAAGCCUGAUGCAGCAACGCCGCGUGCGGGAUGACGGCCUUCGGGUUGUAAACCGCUUUCGCCUGUGACGAAGCGUGAGUGACGGUAAUGGGUAAAGAAGCACCGGCUAACUACGUG
This 469-nucleotide ribosomal RNA is filed under the name uncultured bacterium. Its description in RNAcentral is "partial 16S ribosomal RNA". It matches the Rfam family "Bacterial small subunit ribosomal RNA", at positions 27 to 507 of the family's 1533-position model. The record is from RNAcentral.